UUCCGGUUGAUCCUGCCGGACCCUACUGCUAUCGGGGUGGGACUAAGACAUGCGAGUUGAGCGUCUCUAAGCCAUGGUAGAGACGCGGCGUACGGCUCAGUAACACGUGGCUAACCUACCCUUAGGACGGGGACAACCCCGGGAAACUGGGGCUAAUACCCGAUAGGCGAGGAGGCCUGGAAUGGUUCUUAGUCGAAAAGGCGUUGAAACCAUGCUUUUCGACGUUGCCUAAGGAUGGGGCCGCGCCCGAUCAGGUUGUUGGUGGGGUAACGGCUCACCAAGCCUAUAACCGGUACGGGCCGUGAGAGCGGGAGCCCGGAGAUGGGCACUGAGACAAGGGCCCAGGCCCUACGGGGCGCAGCAGUCGCGAAAACUCCGCAAUGCGCGAAAGCGUGACGGGGCUACCCCGAGUGCCGUCCGCUGAGGAUGGCUUUUCUCCGGUGUAAUGAGCCGGGGGAAUAAGGAGAGGGCAAGUCUGGUGUCAGCCGCCGCGGUAAUACCAGCUCUCCGAGUGGUAGGGAUGAUUAUUGGGCUUAAAGCGUCCGUAGCCGGCUUAGCAAGUCUCCUGUUAAAUUCAGCGACCUAAUCGUUGAGCCGCGGGAGAUACUACUAGGCUAGGAGGCGGGAGAGGCCGACGGUAUUCUCGGGGUAGGGGUGAAAUCCUAUAAUCCCGGGAGGACCACCAGUGGCGAAGGCUGUCGGCUAGAACGCGCUCGACGGUGAGGGACGAAAGCUGGGGGAGCGAACCGGAUUAGAUACCCGGGUAGUCCCAGCUGUAAACGAUGCGGGCUAGGUGUUGGGGUGGCUACGAGCCACUUCAGUGCCGCAGGGAAGCCAUUAAGCCCGCCGCCUGGGGAGUACGGCCGCAAGGCUGAAACUUAAAGGAAUUGGCGGGGGAGCACCACAAGGCGUGAAGCUUGCGGUUCAAUUGGAGUCAACGCCGGG
This 945-nucleotide ribosomal RNA is filed under the name uncultured archaeon. Its description in RNAcentral is "bacterial SSU rRNA". It matches the Rfam family "Archaeal small subunit ribosomal RNA", at positions 1 to 922 of the family's 1478-position model. The record is from RNAcentral.